CCCAGACUCCUACGGGAGGCAGCAGUGGGGAAUAUUGCACAAUGGGGGAAACCCUGAUGCAGCGACGCCGCGUGGAGGAAGAAGGUCUUCGGAUUGUAAACUCCUGUUGUUGGGGAAGAUAAUGACGGUACCCAACAAGGAAGUGACGGCUAACUACGUGCCAGCAGCCGCGGUAAAACGUAGGUCACAAGCGUUGUCCGGAAUUACUGGGUGUAAAGGGAGCGCAGGCGGGAAGACAAGUUGGAAGUGAAAUCUAUGGGCUCAACCCAUAAACUGCUUUCAAAACUGUUUUUCUUGAGUAGUGCAGAGGUAGGCGGAAUUCCCGGUGUAGCGGUGGAAUGCGUAGAUAUCGGGAGGAACACCAGUGGCGAAGGCGGCCUACUGGGCACCAACUGACGCUGAGGCUCGAAAGUGUGGGUAGCAAACAGGAUUAGAUACCCUGGUAGUCCACACCGUAAACGAUGAUUACUAGGUGUUGGAGGAUUGACCCCUUCAGUGCCGCAGUUAACACAAUAAGUAAUCCACCUGGGGAGUACGACCGCAAGGUUGAAACUCAAAGGAAUUGACGGGGGCCCGCACAAGCAGUGGAGUAUGUGGUUUAAUUCGACGCAACGCGAAGAACCUUACCAAGUCUUGACAUCCCUUGACAGGCAUAGAAAUAUGUUUUCUCUUCGGAGCAAGGAGACAGGUGGUGCAUGGUUGUCGUCAGCUCGUGUCGUGAGAUGUUGGGUUAAGUCCCGCAACGAGCGCAACCCUUAUGGUCAGUUACUACGCAAGAGGACUCUGGCCAGACUGCCGUUGACAAAACGGAGGAAGGUGGGGAUGACGUCAAAUCAUCAUGCCCUUUAUGACUUGGGCUACACACGUACUACAAUGGCGUUAAACAAAGAGAAGCAAGACCGCGAGGUGGAGCAAAACUCAGAAACAACGUCCCAGUUCGGACUGCAGGCUGCAACUCGCCUGCACGAAGUCGGAAUUGCUAGUAAUCGUGGAUCAG
Molecule: ribosomal RNA, 997 nt
Filed under: Faecalibacterium prausnitzii
Lineage: Bacteria; Bacillati; Bacillota; Clostridia; Eubacteriales; Oscillospiraceae
Description: bacterial SSU rRNA
Rfam family: Bacterial small subunit ribosomal RNA
Source: RNAcentral